Molecule: unclassified non-coding RNA, 225 nt
Filed under: uncultured Tomentella
Lineage: Eukaryota; Fungi; Basidiomycota; Agaricomycetes; Thelephorales; Thelephoraceae
Description: sequence contains ITS2
Source: RNAcentral
ACACCUCAACCCCUCAUGGUUUACCAUGAUGGGCUUGGACUUUGGGGGUCUUGCUGGAUUAUAGUCAGCUCCCCUUAAAUGAAUCAGCUUGCCAGUGUUUGGUGGCAUCACAGGUGUGAUAAUUAUCUACGCUUGUGGUUUUUUACAUCAAGUAACCUUCAGAGAUGGGGGUUCACUGGGGCUCACAAAAGGUGUCUCUCCUCUGUGAGGAACAGCUCUUUGAAC